UUCUACUAGUAGGCAAGCUUCAAGUGGGAGCUAUUCACACACCAUCUUUAGUGGGUAGCUGCCUAGAGCCCCAGACUAAUAAAGAUUCAUUUUUUUUUGUUUACCUAUUCCUUAGUUUUCUUUUAGGAUAUUAUGUUUACGUAGUUUAUGAAUUUUACAGGGAUUUGAUAAUUUUAUGUACAUAGAAGCCUAAGCAUAAUAGCAUCAGAGUUCUGCCCAAGCUGUUAUAUAAUUAGUAUAAUUGAGGCAUGCCUUAACUUUUAUAUAUUAUACUAGUAUAAUGGUGGUGUUUGGAGAUGUAAGUAAACACUGUUGAAAAUUUCCUCUUAACUGUAUUUUUUUAAUCAUAUUGAAUUUUUUUAAAGCAAGUGAACCAUGGAGACGUGUGUACCCAGCUCCACAGGCUGAGAAGAAAGAUCUGCAGCAGUAUUCAAGUUUACAGUUAGAACAUGAACUUUUUCAACUAUUCCUUGAUUCUAGGACACCGAGGUAAUCACUUUUGAUCACAGAUGGGAGUAUCUUUAUGACGCAUGCUUGUUUAUUAGUAGUUCUAUAAAGUAGUCCAUGCACAGUCUAUGAAUUUUUUAUUUCAAUUAGAAUGACUCAUAAGCUAUCUUUUUGGAGCAUGAGGGAAUGCUUAUUCAUUUUCCAAAUUUCAGACCAACUCCAAUUCUCCACCAGAACACCAAUUUGGUUCCAUUGUCACACCAUUUAGCUCCAGUUGGGACCAAGUUUGUGCUGGCUUGAAUGCAAUAACAUUUUUGAUUCGUAGGUGUGAAUGGGAUGAUUUGAUUAAUAUUCUUUUUUGUUGGUAUUGUGAGGGUUGUUGAAGUAGAAAAUUUUUGAAGCUCAAAUUGCGUUAAAGUGGUGCAAAAUCCACGCCAUACUGGUCUUAUACAUUGGAACUAUCCUGCAAUGGAAACAUUUUUUGUCUCCCUCUUAAAUGAAACUAUCCUGCUCAUUAACCAACUAAUAAAUAGGUAGGAAGCUAAACACAGCUAACGCAUCAAAAUCCUUGUGUUCUCUUUGAUAAUACUGUUGUGUUUGCAGAAAUUCUAAUAGUACUAUCUAAUUUUUCUGACAUUUUCCAUGUGCCAGCCACACCGUGGGCAUUGCAGCAGAUAGCUGGCUCACAUACAUGGAUCGGCUGCUCUCUCUAGGUGUUGAUCGUACAACCGAGAAAAAUUCUCUGAAAGCAAAAAUGCUUAAGUUGAUUGACAUCUACUAUCACGCAAUAGAUGCACCAAAAGUGGCAAAAAGAUAGAUUUUGGUUUUAUUUAGAUUGUUUUGAGUGAGCUGCUUGUUUCAUGUAGUUGCCCUUCUAGCAUUCCUAAACUAUGUUAUUUGUUCUCAACCAGAGUUGUUUGAUUGUACUUUGCACACACAGACACACUCGUAUGCUAUUCAAAAUACACUAUUCUUUUUCAGUAUAUCCAUUUCCCAGAAAAUCUGUAGGCUCCCCAAGUCGCUUGAAUUUACAUCUUUUGCACUUGGAAACUAUUAAAACUAUGUGUUGUGGUUUUUGCAUAAUUUCGGAAGCUCCAGCCAUGUACAUGGCGUAAGUAUAUUAAGUCCAGCUUAAUAUUGUCUUAAUUUAUGCCAGCUAGUUAUCUCAAGGAUGGGAUGUUUGGUAAAUUUAUGAUUGUGGUGACGCUGUCAAUUGACAAAGAGCUGAUUCAAUCUCUAUGUAAAGUUAUGCAGAGUUUAAAUAUGACAUGGUUUGCCUCAGCUGAUAUGAUUGACAACUUUUGUGAGUCACCUGUAGAUAGAUCAACAUAGUCACUCUCGUACUGAUAGAACAAAUAGAUUUCAAUUAUUGUAAUAAUUAUUCAACAUCUUUGUAUACCACAGAAGGUAAAUUAAGGAUUGUUUGAUUUAUCUAUUACUAUUUUGUUCAAGUAGCUAUCAUAAGGAACAUAUUCUACUGUUGUUUCACAUUAAAUAUAAAGUAGAUUGUAUUGGUAGGAAAUCAUGGAGAGGAUUAGUGUGUAGACCGGCUUCAUGUUCCGUAGGGGAUAUUGUGGAGAUCCUAAAUCCUAAUGUCAGUUUACUUUGUUGUUCUUUUUUCACCCUCAAAUCUCUCUCAGUUACAUAUAAUUUGUACUACCAUGCACCAAUAACAAAUUAUUCUCUUUUGGGAAACAGAUCAGUCUACCUGAUUAUUUGAAAGCAGAGUUGUUUCCGCAUCACAUGGGAAGAGUUGUCGAGAAUAGCUAUCACUCCUCCUCCAUAUUGGGUCUAAUAUAUGACAGAGUACAGGAAUUUUAGAAUGGUGAUGUUCCUGGAAAAGCAAGGUGGUUCUUACCAACCAAGACUCAAUUUUAUGUUAUCACGAAGUAUGCAUUGGUUUCAAACGUGAAUGGUGAUGCUAAGUAAGAAAUCUGGAAAAUGCCACUCUUUGACAUUUCAAUCCCUGAGGAUUAUCGUAUCAAGUGGAGAGAUAGGUACGAGUGCUAUUGCGAGGAGAUGAAAAACGCCCUACAGUGCGGUGAUGAAGCUAAGAGCGAUGCUGCUGAUGAUGUGAUCAAAAAGUACAAGCAGUUGUUGUACGAUGCUCCUGAUAUGGAGGAAAGUAGAAAGGAUACUGAAGUGUUGUAUGAGGAAUCGCUUGCUGUAUAUCAUGUAACAUACGACAUGGCGGCCAGCUCUGGUAAGGUGGAAAAAUGUGGGUUUGCUUGGAGAGUGGCGGGAUCUGCGCUGUGCAGUCUCUAUGCCUGGAAAUCAGUUGCUCCCAAGGAGAAGCCGUUGAUGCUGUUACCGCCGGUCCUGCGCGACUUGUUGAACUAAGCACUCAGUCGGAUCCGUUCCUAUGUUGUAACGUGGUAUUGCAUAUUAAUUGUCUAGGCAUUACAACUUAUCUUGUAAAGUAUGAAAUAAAUGAGAACAAGGCUUCGGCUUUGUAGGGACAUGUUUCGUGUAGAUAUUAUGUUUAAACCCAUUCCAA
This is an RNA transcript of Salvia splendens (bonfire salvia), 2944 nucleotides long. It is a transcript of the gene named probable RNA-dependent RNA polymerase 3, with no coding region annotated. The record is from RefSeq and is a predicted model, not a curated record. Lineage: Eukaryota; Viridiplantae; Streptophyta; Magnoliopsida; Lamiales; Lamiaceae. The transcript is spliced from 4 exons.